This 287-nucleotide ribosomal RNA is filed under the name uncultured Bacteroides sp. RNAcentral's name for it is "partial 16S ribosomal RNA". It matches the Rfam family "Bacterial small subunit ribosomal RNA", at positions 62 to 339 of the family's 1533-position model. The record is from RNAcentral. Lineage: Bacteria; Pseudomonadati; Bacteroidota; Bacteroidia; Bacteroidales; Bacteroidaceae.
UCGAGGGGCAUCAGUUUGGUUUGCUUGCAAACCAAAGCUGGCGACCGGCGCACGGGUGAGUAACACGUAUCCAACCUGCCUCAUACUCGGGGAUAGCCUUUCGAAAGAAAGAUUAAUAUCCGAUAGCAUAUAUUUCCCGCAUGGGUUUUAUAUUAAAGAAAUUCGGUAUGAGAUGGGGAUGCGUUCCAUUAGAUAGUAGGCGGGGUAACGGCCCACCUAGUCUUCGAUGGAUAGGGGUUCUGAGAGGAAGGUCUCCCACAUUGGAACUGAGACACGGUCCAAACUCC